AUAGCCAUUGGAAACGAUGAUUAAUACCUGAUAACACCUCUGAAACACAUGUUUCUAAGGUCAAAGAUUUAUCGGUAUAGGAUUGGACCCGCGUCUGAUUAGUUAGUUGGUGAGGUAGCGGCUCACCAAGACUACGAUCAGUAGCCGACCUGAGAGGGUGAUCGGCCACCACUGGAACUGAGACACGGUCCAG
RNAcentral lists this ribosomal RNA (193 nucleotides) under uncultured bacterium. RNAcentral's name for it is "partial 16S ribosomal RNA". It matches the Rfam family "Bacterial small subunit ribosomal RNA", at positions 143 to 334 of the family's 1533-position model. The record is from RNAcentral.